GAUGAACGCUGGCGGCGUGCCUAAUACAUGCAAGUCGAGCGAACAGACGAGGAGCUUGCUCCUCUGACGUUAGCGGCGGACGGGUGAGUAACACGUGUAUAACCUACCUAUAAUACUGGGAUAACUUCGGGAAACCGGAUCUAAUACCGGAUAAUAUAUUGAACCGCAUGGUUCAAUAGUGAAAUACGGCUUUGCUGUCACUUAUAGAUGGAUCCGCGCCGCAUUAGCUAGUUGGUAAGGUAACGGCUUACCAAGGCAACGAUGCGUAGCCGACCUGAGGGGGUGAUCGGCCACACUGGAACUGAGACACGGUCCAGACUCCUACGGGAGGCAGCAGUAGGGAAUCUUCCGCAAUGGGCGAAAGCUUGACGGAGCAACGCCGCGUGAGUGAUGAAGGUCUUCGGAUCGUAAAACUCUGUUAUUAGGGAAGAACAAAUGUGUAAGUAACUAUGCACGUCUUGACGGUACCUAAUAAGAAAGCCACGGCUAACUACGUG
Molecule: ribosomal RNA, 497 nt
Filed under: uncultured bacterium
Lineage: Bacteria
Description: partial 16S ribosomal RNA
Rfam family: Bacterial small subunit ribosomal RNA
Source: RNAcentral